Molecule: long non-coding RNA, 661 nt
Organism: Alligator sinensis (Chinese alligator)
Lineage: Eukaryota; Metazoa; Chordata; Crocodylia; Alligatoridae
Exons: 3
Source: RefSeq, a predicted model, not a curated record
CUCCUGGGAAGAUUUAAAUGUGAACCCCUAUCAGGCUGAGGAGAGCAUCAAACCCAGGUUUCCUCUUCCUAGUAAGGAGCUGUGGUCUGAGAUACUCACGCCGAGCUAAUUUUGGGCAUGGGCAAGAGCAGAAAUGUAGGUGCCUGGGGAAUUUUGAAAUCAAGCCAGACAGCACCUAGUAAGCUUCCAGACAAAGAAAAUAACAUAAAUGGAUAAGCCAAAGAGCCUUCCCAAUCCUCAAAAGAGAGAAGACCUGGGGAAAGAUCUCAUCCUGCAACCCAACCUCUUGCAAACCAAGGGAAAUGGAAAAAAAAUAAAACCAAGGGACACCUCACUAAUAAUUCCUUGAUGAUAUGGACCAUUAGCUUCAGGAGACCAAGCUGUGACAAUAUUAUAGGAGAGAAACGAGGAAACAAAAUUUCAGGAUUUGGAUGAACUGAACAAACAAGGGCCAUAGGCAAAAUUAAUUCAUUCUAUAAAAUGAAUGCACAUUGCAGAUUUUUUUUCCUCCUUCAUUUUUCUGGGUCCGUUAGAUAUAGAAUGAGUCAGAUUCACACAAUUUGUUUUUGGAAGCAAGGGAAAAAAUGGCUUAAACUAGAGAUGAUGGGGAUUAGUACAGACUGAGGAAAAGCUGAAGGACAUCCUCAUCAGAUGGACUGAU